GAUGAAGAACGUAGCGAAAUGCGAUAAGUAAUGUGAAUUGCAGAAUUCAGUGAAUCAUCGAGUCUUUGAACGCACAUUGCGCCCCCUGGUAUUCCGGGGGGCAUGCCUGUCCGAGCGUCAUUGCUGCCCUCAAGCACGGCUUGUGUGUUGGGCCCCCGUCCCCGGUUUCCCCCGGGGACGGGCCCGAAAGGCAGCGGCGGCACCGCGUCCGGUCCUCGAGCGUAUGGGGCUUUGUCACCCGCUCUGUAGGCCCGGCCGGCGCCAGCCGACACCCAACUUUAUUUCUAAGGUUGACCUCCGAUCAGGUAGGGAUACCCGCUGAACUUAAGCAUAUCAAUAAGCGGAGGA
RNAcentral lists this unclassified non-coding RNA (348 nucleotides) under soil metagenome. RNAcentral's name for it is "partial contains 5.8S ribosomal RNA, internal transcribed spacer 2, and large subunit ribosomal RNA". The stretch from base 1 to 120 matches the Rfam family "5.8S ribosomal RNA", at positions 35 to 154 of the family's 154-position model. The record is from RNAcentral.